GGUGGCAUGCCUAAUACAUGCAAGUCGAACGAGAAAGUCACUUCGGUGGCGAGUACAGUGGCGCACGGGUGAGUAACGCGUAGGUGACAUGCCUGUUAGUGGGGGACAACAUCGGGAAACCGGUGCUAAUACCGCAUAAGUUAAACGACAUUGAAAAAGUUUAAGAAAGGGGCUUCGGUCUCGCUGACAGAUUGGCCUGCGUAUCAUUAGCUUGUUGGUGGGGUAAUGGCCUACCAAGGCGACGAUGAUUAACUGGUCUGAGAGGAUGAUCAGUCACACUGGAACUGAGACACGGUCCAGACUCCUACGGGAGGCAGCAGUAGGGAAUAUUGCACAAUGGGGGAAACCCUGAUGCAGCAAUGCCACGUGAGUGAGGAAGGCCUUCGGGUUGUAAAGCUCUGUCCUAUAGGAAGAACGGCACUAGGUAACGCUAGUGUUUGACGGUACUAUAGAAGAAAGCACCGGCUAACUCCGUGCCAGCAGCCGCGGUAAUACGAAGGGUGCAAGCGUUGUUCGGAUUUACUGGGCGUAAAGCGCGCGCAGGCGGACUAGCAAGUCAGAUGUGAAAUCUCGGGGCUUAACCCCGAAACUGCGUCUGAAACUGUUAGUCUAGAAUCUCACAGGGGGUAGGGGAAUUUCACGU
Molecule: ribosomal RNA, 643 nt
Filed under: uncultured bacterium
Lineage: Bacteria
Description: bacterial SSU rRNA
Rfam family: Bacterial small subunit ribosomal RNA
Source: RNAcentral